AGUCGUUUCUUAAGAAGAAAAAAAAACCCACCUUCUUCAUCUGUUAUGUUUAUGGUUUUGUGGAGGUGAGUCCUAGACGAAAUUUAACAAACGAUUUUGAUCUUAAUUUACAAGAUGAUUUUGAUUUUAGUGUAUGGAAUGCCCAUAAUAAUUUGGAAGAAUCAUUAUCAUGCGCAGAAAAAGAUUCUCAACCGACAAACGAAAUUUCAUAUGAAGAAGAGGUAGACAGAAACAACUACAGGGAACACAAUGAGAACAUUAUGUCAAUAGAUCGAGAAAAAUUUUUGAUGGGAUUGUUGAUGAAGUAGAUCCAUUGAAUAACACAUAAGAGUUGUCCGAUGAAGAGAUCAAUUGUAUUCGCCUAUACAUCGGGAAAGAAUUUGAAUUACAAGAUGAAGCUUACAAUUUCUAUAAUCGGUAUGCAGGUAGUACUGGAUUUAGUAUUCGCUGGCAUACCACUCACAAGUAUAGAGUUGAGACUUUUGAAGUGAUACGACGCACAUUUUGUUGCAAUCGUCAAAGGGUACGAGAUCCUAAAUCUAAGCCUGUUGAACAAAGAAAAAGGAACCAUGCUGAUAUAAGGGCAAACUGUAAUGUCGCUAUGGUUAUAGUAAAGAAAAAUAGUAGGUGGGUUGUAGCUCAUGUUACAAAAGAACAUAGUCAUAAGAUUGUCUCUCUAAGUAAAAGACACAAUAUUCGGUCACUGAGAAAAAUAAGUAGCAGCCAAAAACAAGUUCUCGUCAACAUGCGCUUAGCAGGUGUCAAAACAAAUCAAAUGAUGAAUUACUUAACAGUUGAAUCAGGUGGUGUUAGGAACAUUGGAUUUCUUGGAAAGGAUGCAAGAAAUUAUCUAAGUACAAAAUGUCAGUUGGAGCUAAAACGUGGAGAUUCCUAAGUUGUACUUAACUACUUUGAACGUCUACAAGUGGAGAAUCCAUCAUUUUUUUAUUCAAUCCAAGUUGAUUCUGAAAGCCAGAUGACAACUUUUUUGGGGCUGAUGCUAAAUCUAGGAUGGAUUAUUACUAUUUUGGCGACGUAGUAAUGCACGACAUGGAUGAGGCCGCUUGUUUGUUCCGAUUGUGGGAUUUAAUCAUCAUUAUCAAAUUGUAUUGUUUGGUGGAGCUUUGCUUUAUUCUGAAAGUGAGGAAUCAUUUGAAUGGAUAAUGAAAACAUGGAUGAGGGAAAUGCACGACAAAGCACCGAAAGUGAUUCUUAGAAUCAUCUAUUGGAGGUGCUAUUGCAAAUGUUCUACCAGGUACGCAUCAUAGAUUUUUCUUUUGGCAUAUAUGUAGAAAUGUUAUGAAUAAUUUGUCUAAUGUGAGGAAAGAAUUCAUUUCAGAAUUUAACAAUUGCUUAUAUGGAUAUGAAACGGUUGAAAACUUUGAGCGGGCAACAAUGCUUAAAAAUCACAAUUUGGAAAAAAAAACAAAUGGUUUUCGACAUUAUACAGCAAACGCGUACAUUGUGCAUCGGUCUACACGCGUGAUAUAUUUUGUGCAGAUAUGCAUACAACACAACAAAGUGAAAGUAUUAAAUUUUAGUUUGAUGGAUUUUUAAAAAGAGAUAUACCUUUGUGUGAAUUUGUCCAGCAGUUUGGAAGAGCAAUAGUUGCAAGAGGAGAGGCAGAAAACAAUAUGGAGUAUCAAACAAUAUAUACAAGUCUUGUAUUAAGGUUUCGAAUGUGUAUUGAGAAAGAUGCAGCUUUGGUGUACACAAAGAUAAUUUUCAGUAAAUUCCAAGAACAGUUAACUGAUUUUUUUUGUUAUAUUCAUGAAAGAGUGGAAAAAAGUGGAACAAUGAUCACUUAUCACGUAUCUAGAGAUGAAUAUGUGCAUAAACACCGAACAGUGGUAUUUGACUCUUCAAGUAAGAGUGCUUAGUGCAGUUGUGUAUCGUACGAGUUUGCUGGUUACUUGUGCAGAUACGUCUUAAAAGUUUUCGUAGUCAAGAAUGUUCAAAAUAUUCCAACUCAACAUGUUCUAAAAAGGUGGACCAAAGAUGCUAAAUCUGGACAUGUGCUGUUUGAACAAGGAAAAAAAAUCAUAGCUGAUUGUCAGUUAACAAAAACAGUUAGAUAUAGCAGACUUUGGCAAGAUGCAAUUAAUAUUACAAUUAAAGGCUCGACAUCAAUCAAGCUAUAGAAACAUGGCAGUACAAGUGUUACAGAAAACUUUAGAAAAAAUCCUCUCAAGUAAAUCCAAAUGGAGAACCUGAUGUUAUACAUUAUGAGGAUACUUUUAAGACAAGAAGAAAAUGUAGAAAACCAAUCAAAUUUCCAAAGAUCAUUAAAAGAACCACCAAUUGUAAAGCGUAAAGGCAAACCUGGUAGAAGGAAGUCAUGGGUUGACAAGCUCAAUAGGGAUCAGAAGAGCAAGAAAACGAAUAGAAAAACAUGAUCAAAAGAUUCAUUAAGGUUGCCGGCACCAACAUCAAUUGAAUUGGACAUUGCUAACUCUCAAGACAAGCAACAGAAGAAAAGUAAAAAAUCAGUCGCAUUAGAUAAUGCGAAAUCUCAAGACAAGCAACCGAAGAAAGGAAAAACAUGUAUUGCGUAACUAUUCUUCAAUCUUUUUUUUAUAAUCAACCUCUUCAUUUUUAUUCUUAUCAUCAACUAACAAGUUUGGAUUUGGUAGAAAUGAAUUUAGAAGAUGUAUAUACUAGGAUCUGGUAUAAAUGAAUUUAGAAUAUGUAGACACUAGAUAAGGGUGAUAAUUUCUCUCACACUUGUUAGUUAGUAGAUAUGGAUAUGUUUACAUUUAUUGGCUUUUGCUUUA
Long non-coding RNA from Papaver somniferum (opium poppy), 2774 nucleotides. RefSeq lists it as uncharacterized. Lineage: Eukaryota; Viridiplantae; Streptophyta; Magnoliopsida; Ranunculales; Papaveraceae. The record is from RefSeq and is a predicted model, not a curated record. The transcript has 3 exons.